RNAcentral lists this transfer-messenger RNA (146 nucleotides) under Alphaproteobacteria bacterium PA3. Its description in RNAcentral is "Alphaproteobacteria transfer-messenger RNA". It matches the Rfam family "Alphaproteobacteria transfer-messenger RNA", at positions 1 to 145 of the family's 355-position model. Rfam says of the family: Bacterial tmRNA, also known as 10Sa RNA or SsrA, is named for its dual tRNA and mRNA-like properties. Lineage: Bacteria; Pseudomonadati; Pseudomonadota; Alphaproteobacteria. The record is from Rfam by way of RNAcentral.
CCCCUUCCCAUAGCCGCUAAGAGGGCCUAUAUUAGAGAGGUCCGGUUCGCCGGACUAUGGUGAUAAACGUGCGUGAAAUAAGCAGGCCGGACCGGGGUGCGAUUCCCCGCGGCUCCACCAAACUCUCUGCGUGUAUCGACGCGAGU